Non-coding RNA from Symphalangus syndactylus (siamang), 627 nucleotides. The record is from the annotation of a RefSeq genome assembly. Lineage: Eukaryota; Metazoa; Chordata; Mammalia; Primates; Hylobatidae.
GGAGGCCUGGGGCAGCCCAGUCCCACUGCGGGGUAAGAGGCUGUGUCCACCAUGGCCUGGACUCCUCUCCUCUUCCUGCUCCUCUCUCACUGCACAGGUUCCCUCUCGCAGCCUGUGCUGACUCAGCCAAGCUCCCUCUCAGCAUCUCCUGGAGCAUCAGCCAGACUCACCUGCACCUUUAGCGGUGGCAUCAUUGUUGGUGGCUACCACAUAUUCUGGUACCAGCAGAAGCCAGGGAGUCCUCCCCGGUAUCUCCUGAGGUACAAAUCGGACUCAGAUAAGCACCAGGGCUCUGGAGUCCCCAGCCGCUUCUCUGGAUCCAAAGAUGCUUCGGCCAAUGCAGGGAUUUUACUCAUCUCCGGGCUCCAGUCUGAGGAUGAGGCUGACUAUUACUGUGUGAUUUGGCACAGCAGUGGUGCUUCUCACAGUGACACACACAGAUGGGGAACUGGGACGAAAACCUCGCCCUGCUCUCACUCUUGUUCUGUGACAAUUUUCAAAUUGUGAAAAUAACUUGCCUAUUUACAAAGUGUAUUUGGAAGUACUCUCUUGUGGUAACAGGCUUUUCUCUCAAUUUCCCAUUCAUAGUUUUUGAAGUCUGAGUAAAACAAAACCAAACCAAACCAC